RNAcentral lists this ribosomal RNA (333 nucleotides) under Triticum aestivum (bread wheat). RNAcentral describes it as "partial small subunit ribosomal RNA". Lineage: Eukaryota; Viridiplantae; Streptophyta; Magnoliopsida; Poales; Poaceae. The record is from RNAcentral.
AUGCUUUAUUUGUUGGUAACUAUAGGUAAAUUCCUUUUUUGCUUGAUUGCUAGAUUUUAUGAACUUUCCCCAUGGUGUAAGAAAGAAAAUCCUUUUAUUAGCUUUGGAAUGUUACAUUUUGAUUUAAUUGCUUUGCUGAAUGUAUGCACAAAAAGAAUUUCAGUUUCUCAGUGUCAGCAGGGAAGGUCUCAGUUGGUGGCACAUUUCUUUAACAGGUUCAUGGAUACUUAUUUUCCCGUUGCAACGCACGGGCACAUUUCUGGUCGUCCGUUGUGGCAGUUUUGCAAAAGCGUCCCCGCGUUUCUUCGAAAUCAACCCGCGGUCCUAUUUUAA